AAUCAAGAGCAUCAGCUAUAAGCCCUGGCUUGCUGAUCGGCAACCCUCUCAACGGUAGUGGGGUGCUCCAGGUGAGGAUUCGGUUCCACACAAAUGUGCUGGAACAAGUACCGCAC
This 116-nucleotide non-coding RNA is filed under the name Glutamicibacter arilaitensis. RNAcentral describes it as "Arthrobacter arilaitensis SAM-IV sequence". It matches the Rfam family "SAM (S-adenosyl methionine) riboswitch aptamer". From Rfam's summary of the family: SAM-IV is a mRNA element that regulates gene expression via direct sensing of S-adenosylmethionine (SAM or AdoMet). SAM-IV riboswitches share conserved nucleotide positions with the previously described SAM-I riboswitches sequence analysis and molecular recognition experiments suggest that SAM-I and SAM-IV riboswitches share similar ligand binding sites, but have different scaffolds. Lineage: Bacteria; Bacillati; Actinomycetota; Actinomycetes; Micrococcales; Micrococcaceae. The record is from RNAcentral.